This is a non-coding RNA of Podarcis lilfordi (Lilford's wall lizard), 73 nucleotides long. Lineage: Eukaryota; Metazoa; Chordata; Lepidosauria; Squamata; Lacertidae. The record is from the annotation of a GenBank genome assembly.
GCUGGGAUAGCUCAGUCAGCAGAGCAUGAGACUCUGGAUCUCAGAGCCAUGGGUUCAAGCCCUACAUUGGGCA